ACAAAGAAGAGUUUGAUCCUGGCUCAGGAUGAACGCUAGCGAUAGGCCUAACACAUGCAAGUCGAGGGGCAGCAUAGGGUAGCAAUACUUUGAUGGCGACCGGCGCACGGGUGAGUAACGCGUAUGCAACCUACCUAUAACAGGGGAAUAACCCGGAGAAAUUCGGACUAAU
Molecule: ribosomal RNA, 172 nt
Organism: Dysgonomonas gadei ATCC BAA-286
Lineage: Bacteria; Pseudomonadati; Bacteroidota; Bacteroidia; Bacteroidales; Dysgonomonadaceae
Rfam family: Bacterial small subunit ribosomal RNA
Source: Rfam